GCGCUCCGUCAAUGUUCUUGGUUUUAAUGGGACCCCAUAUGUCACUGUGAAUAAUCGAGAAAGGCUGAGUUGGUUUGUAUCCAAGUCCAGAAUAGGUUGUUCUUGUGUGUUUGGCAAGUUGACACACUUCACAUUCAAACAACUUAGCACUCUUAUUAAUAAAUAAGUCUGGAAACAGCUUUUCAAGAUACAAAAAACUCGAA
RNAcentral lists this long non-coding RNA (203 nucleotides) under Linum usitatissimum (flax). RNAcentral describes it as "long non-coding RNA (LUSI_LNC005983)". The record is from RNAcentral. Lineage: Eukaryota; Viridiplantae; Streptophyta; Magnoliopsida; Malpighiales; Linaceae.